Molecule: long non-coding RNA, 964 nt
Filed under: Calidris pugnax (ruff)
Lineage: Eukaryota; Metazoa; Chordata; Aves; Charadriiformes; Scolopacidae
Description: lncRNA (ENSCPUG00000001375.1)
Source: RNAcentral
GGGCGGGAGGCUGCGGCGAGGAAGAGGAAAUCUCGGCAGGAACAAGGAGAGGGAAAGGGCCAGGGCUGGGGACGGCGACACAACCGGGACCUGCCGGGAGCCCCCGCCGUGGCACUGGGACCGGGGACCGGGACCGGGGACCAGGACCGGGCACCGGGAGCAGCCCCGGAACGGGCACCGGUUGGCGCGGGGCUCGGCGGGCAGGAGGCGGCCGGGAUGGAGAAGCUCCCACCAGGCGAGGAGGAGGAGGAGGAUGAAGAGGAUGAGGAGGAUGAGGAGGACAUGGCGGGGGACGCCGAGGCCAUCCUGCGCUACGAGGAGCGCAUCGCGGGGCUGGUGGCCACGGUAGCCCGGCUGCACCACCGAGCCCAGCAGCUGCAGCGCCGCACCGGCAGGUACCGGCACAUGGUGGCCACGGGGCUACCACCGCCCGGGCACCCCCAUCUCCGGCCUUCGCCGCCCCACAGGGAGGAUGAGGAAGGUUGGGAGGGCACCACCAGCCUCCCUGAUGCCAACCCGCAGCCCCGGCACCUCGACACCAGUAUGGAAGCCCACGGCCCCGACCUCUUUGCUGACCUGCAGCACGCCGUCAGCUCCCUGGAACGCACCGUCUUCUCCCGGCACCGGCGGGCACCGGCACAACCCCUGCCCGGUGAGGAGUGGGCACGGGCGGCCAAGAGCCUGGAGGAGCUGGACCGGGCACCACCGGGCUGGAGCGGGAGGGGGAUGCCCGGGGGUCCCGGGGAGGGAGCGGGCGAGGGGCUGCCGGCGGAGGAGGCGGCGAUGGCGGCGGCGGUGGCGAGGAACGCGGCACUGAGGGCGGCCUUGGGACGGCGGGACGAGGAGCUGAGCCGGGCUACGGCCUCCCUGGGGGGGCUACGGGGGGAGCGGGACCGGCUGGAGCAGAAGGUGGGUGAUGGGGACACGGGGAGGGGAGGGGGACAUUGCCCAGGUCACCCCCCCC